AUUGAACGCUGGCGGCAGGCCUAACACAUGCAAGUCGAGCGGCAGCGGGAAAGUAGCUUGCUACUUUUGCCGGCGAGCGGCGGACGGGUGAGUAAUGCCUGGGGAUCUGCCCAGUCGAGGGGGAUAACUACUGGAAACGGUAGCUAAUACCGCAUACGCCCUACGGGGGAAAGCAGGGGACCUUCGGGCCUUGCGCGAUUGGAUGAACCCAGGUGGGAUUAGCUAGUUGGUGAGGUAAUGGCUCACCAAGGCGACGAUCCCUAGCUGGUCUGAGAGGAUGAUCAGCCACACUGGAACUGAGACACGGUCCAGACUCCUACGGGAGGCAGCAGUGGGGAAUAUUGCACAAUGGGGGAAACCCUGAUGCAGCCAUGCCGCGUGUGUGAAGAAGGCCUUCGGGUUGUAAAGCACUUUCAGCGAGGAGGAAAGGUUGGUAGCUAAUAACUGCCAGCUGUUACGUUACUCGCAGAAGAANCACCGGCUAACUCCGUGCCAGCCGCCGCAGUAAUAC
Molecule: ribosomal RNA, 511 nt
Filed under: uncultured bacterium
Lineage: Bacteria
Description: bacterial SSU rRNA
Rfam family: Bacterial small subunit ribosomal RNA
Source: RNAcentral